Molecule: ribosomal RNA, 301 nt
Filed under: uncultured bacterium
Lineage: Bacteria
Description: partial 16S ribosomal RNA
Rfam family: Bacterial small subunit ribosomal RNA
Source: RNAcentral
CAGCAGCCACGGGAAUACGGAGGGAGCUAGCGUUGUUCGGAAUUACUGGGCGUAAAGCGCACGUAGGCGGCUUUGUAAGUUAGAGGUGAAAGCCUGGAGCUCAACUCCAGAAUUGCCUUUAAGACUGCAUCGCUUGAAUCCAGGAGAGGUGAGUGGAAUUCCGAGUGUAGAGGUGAAAUUCGUAGAUAUUCGGAAGAACACCAGUGGCGAAGGCGGCUCACUGGCCCGAUACUGACGCUGAGGCACGAAAGCGUGGGGAGCAAACAGGAUUAGAUACCCGAGUAGUCCCUGUCUCUUAUAC